UAUAUUUUUAUCUACUAAUAUGUUGGGUAGAACAUGGGUAGACAGUUGGUGUGUAAUAAACAGAUGAGAGGCCUCGUUGUUGUUUGAUUGAGUCAUCUAGCGGAGUUUAGAUGACGACCACUGGCUAUUCUAGACAGUCUUGUGGAAACAUUAGCAGGUUCGCCACCUGUAGGUGUUAAUGAACUUGGGUGUUCAUUCGCUGUACUCCAUCCCCCUCAUGGUUGCCUUAUUUGACUUAUAUUGCUGAGGUACCCCCGAAGCAUGUGUUGUCGCCCCGAUGAAAUAUUCUUAGACUAGGUCCCUUAUGUUAGUUGUUUUAGGGACAUUAAAGUGAGAAUAACGGGAAUGGGUAAUUGGGUUAUUGUUGGUUGGUGAAAAUUAAAUAUGAUAUUUAUUGUGGGUUGAAAACCCUAUAUGCUCACCAGGCUCCCAAGCCUGACCCACUCAGUUUUAAAUUGUAUUACAGGUAGUGGCGGAAGGGCAUGAGAUGGAUGAACCAUCAAGUUGUUUUGUUUACAAGUCUGCAUAUGUUUAUAUUUGUUAUAUGACUUGUAAUGUAUUCGUUUAUGCUUAUUGGUCUGUAUCGGAACAUGACACCCCGAGUUUUGAUUAUAAUGAAAAUACAUUUCUUUUAUGAAAUGCUUCGGUAAACAAUGUUUUAUCAUGUUUUGUUUUUGGGAACAAAUUCCGCAACUCUUUCAAAUCAAAAGGAUUUACUCUGAAAAUAUUUAAAAGCAUAAAUGAAAAUCGGUCUUUUCUGGCCGAGAUUUUGGGGAUGUCACAGUUGGUAUCAGAGCAUUAGUUUAAGCGAACUAGGAAUUUGUAGGAUUUCUAGACUUAAACUUAGAAUGCUAAGUGAAGUUUUGAGAUGUGUGUCUGUUGUGAUUUAGACACGAGCACUAGUUUAUUUUAGGAAAGUUGCCUAAAAUGCUUUAUGUGCUAAAUGUUAUAUGUUGCCAUAUAUGAUAUUAUUUGUUCGGAUCUAUGGUCUGUUGCCGACCGGAUCUAGAAACCUUAUGUGUGUAGGAUUCUAAGCGUACGUCUACGAUAUUAGAACUAGCAUGUAAACGUUUCGGAGUGAUAAGGAUGAUUUGAAUAUCUAUCAUGAUUGAGGAUCUAAUUUCACCUUAUUCGGUGUAGAUCAAAAUGGUGAGAACAAGAAGUGGAGUUGGAAAUGCUGACGAAAACAGGAAUCAACCACCAGUGAUUGAGCCAAUACCUGUCGUAGCAGCAGCACCUGAGCCAAUAACCAUGGCUGGUGUGCAAUUGAUGAUUCAGACGAUGUUGGAUCGUCAGAUGGAUGAAACUAGACGGUUGCUUCAACAAAAUCGUGAAGAACUGUCGAUUCGUGUGGAAGAGCCUGAACUGAAUGAAGGGCACUCGGAAGGUGGAAACUUCAGUGGGUCUGUUGGUCCAGCCAACCCACCGAUAGUUAGGCAAGAUAACCAUGAUGGAAGGAAUGAUGGAAUGGGAUGCAAGUACAAGGACUUUUUGACUUGUAAACCAUCGACCUUCAAUGGAAAGGAGGAUCCGAUUGGGGUUAUGGAUUGGAUCUCCGAAAUGGAGUUAGCCUUUAUGACAUGUGGCUGUAGAGGCAAGUUGCAGACUAUCUAUGCCGUGCGACAAUUCCGAGGUGGAGCCGUUCGUUGGUGGAACACUCUAGGGAAGACCUUAAGCCCUAAUGAGCCACUGCAAUUGUCAUGGGCAGAGUUCUUGGUGCAGUUCAAGCGCAAGUUCUGCUCGGCUCAAAAUCUGUUGGAGUUGGAGAACAAGUUUUUGACAUUGACGAAGGGUAGCAUGUCAGUGGAUGAGUACACCAAUAACUUCACCGAUAAGAUGGAGUUUGCCUUGCGUAUCGUUCCAGACGAGCUGACAAAGGUGGAUCGGUAUGCGAAGGGACUUCCAUGGGAGUACGAGGUGCCGGUACGUCAGGCACUUACUCUAGAGGCAGCUAUCUGGGCUGCCAAGUCUGUGGAGAACAUGAUCAAGGGGAGAACCACCGUCAAGGUUGAGGUUGGUGAGAAAAGGAAGUUUGAAGGAACAUCUGGUUCCAGUAAGAAGAGCAAAUUUUCGAAAUCUGAUUCGAAAAAGUUUGGAGGAAAAGGAGGCGAAGCAAAGUGGUGUGAUAAGUGUAAGAAAAAGCACUUUGGGAAAUGUAGCGAGGAUGUGACCUGCUACAAGUGUGGAAAGGUUGGACAUUUUGCCAAUGAAUGUCCGAACAACAAAAGGAUGUGUUUUGGGUGUAAUGAAGAGGGGCAUAUUUUGAAAGACUGUCCGAAGAAGAAGGAGGCAGCUAGGCCCAACAUUCCACCAAAGCCGAAGGCGAGAGCCUUCCAGAUGACACUUGAGGCUGCGAAAGAUGAAGCUGAUGUCGCUUCAGGUACCUUUCUCGUAAACGAAUUACCUGCUCAUAUAUUGUUUGAUUCUGGAGCCAACUACUCCUUUAUUUCGCAUGAGUUUGGUAGAAAGCUAGCUUUGCCUGUUGAUAGACUAGAUAAUGCUUUAUUAGUCGAAGUAGCUAGUGGCAAGUUUGUACCUGUUAGCCAUCGUAUGAAAAACGUCUUGAUCGACCUUAAUGGGAAUAAGUUUCUCGAGGAAUUAUUGCCUAUCGAACUAAAUGGUUUCGACAUCGUCUUGGGAAUGGAUUGGCUUAGCGCCAAUGAUGCCGAAAUUUUGUGCAAGAAGAAGAUAGUUAAAGUAAACCCGCCUGGGAAAGAUUCGUUUAUGGUGUAUGGGGACAAACGCAGAGUGAAUUCUGGAAUCAUUUCUCUAAUGAAAGCCAGAAAGUGUUUGACCAAGGGAUGUACAUCAUAUUUAGCAUUCGUGAUUGAUGCUAAGAAAGAAAAGAAGGUGAUGCAGAGCAUUCCAGUGGUGUGUGAUUAUCCGGAAGUAUUUCCCGAGGAUCUUCCUGGAUUACCACCUGAUAGACAAGUGGAGUUCAGAAUAGACUUGUUACCAGGAACCACGCCAAUAGCAAAAGCACCUUAUCGAUUAGCACCGACGGAGAUGAAGGAGCUGAUGAUGCAACUUCAGGAGUUAUUGGACAAAGGUUUCAUUAGACCUAGUUCAUCGCCCUGGGGAGCUCCGGUGUUAUUUGUAAAGAAGAAAGAUGGAAGUAUGAGAAUGUGCAUCGAUUACAGAGAGCUGAACAAGGCAACAAUAAAGAAUAGAUAUCCGUUGCCGAGGAUUGAUGACCUGUUUGAUCAAUUGCAAGGUUCGAGCUAUUUCUCGAAGAUCGAUCUUAGGUCAGGAUAUCAUCAGCUGAAAGUAAGAGAGCAAGAUAUCGAGAAGACUGCAUUCAGAACUAGAUAUGGACACUACGAGUUCUUGGUUAUGUCGUUUGGACUAACCAAUGCUCCAGCAGCGUUCAUGGAUUUGAUGAAUAGGGUUUGUAAUCCUUUCCUUGAUAAAUCCGUGAUAGUGUUCAUAGACGACAUUCUGAUCUACUCGAAAAGCCAGGAGGAGCAUGGCAGACACUUGCGAGAAGUGUUAGAAGUUUUGAAGAAGGAGAAGCUUUAUGCGAAGUUCUCCAAAUGUGAUUUUUGGAUUCGUGAGGUCCAAUUCUUGGGUCACGUGGUCAACCAAGAAGGGAUAAUGGUUGAUCCAGCGAAGAUCGAAGCUGUGACGAAGUGGGAACAACCGAAAAGUCCCACGGAGAUUCGAAGCUUUUUAGGAUUAGCCGGAUAUUACCGAAGGUUUAUCCAAGGCUUUUCUUCGAUUGCUACUCCAUUAACAGCUUUGACCCACAAAGGAGCUACUUAUGCUUGGAGUGAGAAGCAUAAAGAAGCAUUCGAGAAGUUAAAGAAGAAGCUAUGCGAGGCACCGAUACUUUCUCUACCCGAUGGAGUUGAAGACUUCGCUGUUUAUAGCGAUGCGUCUGGUGUUGGAUUGGGUUGUGUUUUGACCCAAAGAGAAAAGGUGAUAGCAUAUGCGUCUCGACAGCUGAAAGAGCAUGAAAAGAAUUACCCGACUCAUGAUUUGGAGUUGGCAGCGGUAGUUUUCGCUCUGAAAAUAUGGAGGCAUUACCUCUAUGGCACGAAGUGCAAACUUUUCACUGAUCAUAAGAGUCUCCAAUACCUCUUUAAUCAGAAAGAAUUGAAUAUGAGGCAACGACGCUGGCUAGAAUUACUUAAAGACUACGACUGCGAGAUACUUUACCACCCCGGUAAAGCUAAUGUUGUUGCUGAUGCUCUCAGUCGGAAAGUCAAUCUUGAAAGGAAGAGGCCAAGAGCGUUGAGAAUUGAAGUUGUCUCGACUAUUGUGGAAAGUAUAAAGAAAGCUCAAGAGGAAGCUUCUGAGAAAAAUGACCGAAAGGAGGAACGUUUGGGUAAAACGUUGGUGUUUGGUACUAACGGUCAUGGACUGAAGGUAUUCCAAGAUCGUAUUUGGGUACCUAAGUCAGGAGGAAUUAGGGAUCUUCUGAUGGAAGAAGCUCACAAAACCAUGUACUCAAUUCAUCCGGGUAGCACUAAAAUGUAUAGGGACCUGAAACCCUACUACUGGUGGCCGACGAUGAAGCUUGAUGUUGCAAAGUAUGUGGCCGAGUGUGUGACUUGUGCGAGAGUCAAGACACAACAUCAGAAACCUUACGGGAGUUUAGAACCAUUGCCUGUGCCUAUGGGUAAGUGGGAAGACAUUGCUAUGGAUUUUGUCACUAAACUGCCCAGAACAAAGAAUGGUCACGACAUGAUUUGGGUGGUCGUUGAUCGAUUCACUAAGAGUGCGCAUUUCAUAGCGGCCAGGGAGAAAUGGUCUAUGGAAAAGCUUGCGAAUUCUUACGUGAAGGAAAUUGUGAGGCUUCACGGUGUUCCGUUAACGAUUGUAUCGGAUCGUGAUAGCCGUUUCACCUCAAGGUUUUGGAAAAGUCUACAAGAGGAAAUGGGUACCAAGUUAUGUUUAAGCACAGCUUACCAUCCGCAGACUGAUGGUCAGAGUGAAAGAACAAUACAAACACUUGAAGAUAUGCUGAGAGCAUGUACCUUGGAAUUCCUAGGUAAUUGGGAUGAACAUUUACCGUUGGUAGAAUUUUCCUAUAAUAAUAGUUUUCACUCGAGCAUUAAGAUGGCACCUUAUCAAGCUUUGUAUGGACAGAAGUGUCGUACGCCGUCUUGUUGGCUUGAGGCUGGGGAAAAGCAGUUUAUGGGACCGGAGAUGGUUCAUCAAACUGCUGAAAAGUUGAAAAUAAUUAGGGAAAGAAUGUUAGCAGCUCAAGAUCGUCAAAAGAGCUAUGCUGACAAGAAGCGAAGACCGAUGACUUUUGAGGUUGGAGAUUCGGUUUUGCUUAAAGUCUCGCCGUGGAAGGGACUUAUAAGAUUUGGUAAAAGGGGAAAGUUGAGUCCAAGGUUUAUUGGACCGUUUAAAGUCCUUCAGAGGAUUGGGAAUCAAGCUUACAAGCUCGAAUUACCCGAAGAACUGAAUGGAAUUCACAACACCUUUCAUGUGUGUUAUUUGAGGAAGUUCACGGGAGAAGUUCCCGAUAUAAUUCCAAUUUCUGAAUUGAGAAUUGAUGAGAACAAAAGGUUGAUUGAAGAACCAGAGGCAAUUGUUGACCGAAAGACUAAGAAGUUGCGACGCAAAAUGGUUGGGUUAGUGCUUGUCCGAUGGAAACACACGAAUGGGCCGAAUCUCACCUGGGAGACGGAGAGUGACAUGUUGAGUCGCUAUCCGCAUUUGUUUGUUGAUGUGUGAUUCCGGGGACGGAAUCAUUCUAAGGUGGAGAGAAUUGUAACGCCUGUGUUUCCGGGCUUGCCAUUUUUAGCAAUGUAAUAGUCUAGGUUAACCUUUGUAACCCGUUUUGAAAUAAUAAGAUUGUAUUAUUUGAGUAUUAUGUGUUUUGUGCUUAAUUGCUUAAUUAUGUGGUUUGAUUAAUUAAGAAUAAAAAUAAGCGUCAAAAUUUAAGUGUAAAAUAAACUUAAUAUCUUUGGUUAAUGUUGUAGUAGUUGAAACGAGGUUUCCGAAUAUAUAUAGAACGCCCAAAUCUGACUUCGUAUGAGGAAGUUAUGAUUUAUCGAAGUUCCGGCUUAGCGAUAUACAGCCUGUUUUACUCGAUUUGAGAUCGAGCGGUUGUUAGCCGAAGCAAUCUAAAUGAGAAUCGAAGAUCUCAUUGUUGGUAUUGAAACGAUAAAAAGUUAGGCGAGAACGGACGUCAAACGAAGAAGUUAUGAAUUUAUAACGAAAGUUUCUGUCCCGGCCUAUUAAAAAUAAUUAAUAAAAAUAAAGUCAAAAUUAGCCGACGGAGUCUAAACGAAAGUCGUAGAGCGUGGUCUCACCUUCGCGUGGAUAUAAAGAACGUCGAAAACGGAGUUCGUAUGAAGAAGUUAUGAAUUUCCGAAGUUUAUUAAUCAUUUUGUAUUUAUUUUUAAUUCAAAAUUCGGAAGCAUUAUCCGAAGGAGUCACCGAUCUGAUCCGAGGUACGCCCCGCGUACUCGAGUACGCCCCGCGUACUCCGAGGGAUGUCGACACUCGCACUCGAGCACUUCGGAUACGUAAGCAAUGACGUUUUGGGCAGUACGCCCCGCGUAACGCAGUACGCCCCGCGUACUCCGAGGCUCCAGCCUCCUAUAAAUAGGAUGCGAGGGUUCCGGGUAUUUUUGCCAAUUCCCUCUCGUUUUCGUGUCGAAGCUCUGUGCAAAAACCCCCGAAGCUACCCCGAAGUCCCGGUAUCAUACUCUAGCCCCGAGGCAAGUCCCGAGAUCCUGAAGAUCCCGAAAAGUGCGGUUCCCGAGUCGAAGCUCUGCCCGCGAGAAGUUCGAUUUUCGAGAAGAUCUUCCAGAUCUGCUGUGGAUUACUACUUCUAUAAGCCGUAGUGCUGUCCGAUCAUCUUCUGAUCAAGUGAGUGUGUAGUUAUUUCUUCUAAUACAAUAAUACGAAGUAUUUUAUAUAAAAAUACGUGCUAUGUGUAUAUAUUUGGUUGUGUUAUGUGUGAAUGAGUAUUCACUCUCUUCUAUCUUAUAGAUCUGCUUAUUUCUUUAUGAGAUAUGUGUUAUGUGUGUGUGUGCCUCAUCUGUUAUGUGAUAUAUGUGUUGAUUAAAGCAUGCUAUACAGGUUUUCUUUAAACUAUGUAUACAAAUGUAUAUUUUUAUCUACUAAUAUGUUGGGUAGAACAUGGGUAGACAGUUGGUGUGUAAUAAACAGAUGAGAGGCCUCGUUGUUGUUUGAUUGAGUCAUCUAGCGGAGUUUAGAUGACGACCACUGGCUAUUCUAGACAGUCUUGUGGAAACAUUAGCAGGUUCGCCACCUGUAGGUGUUAAUGAACUUGGGUGUUCAUUCGCUGUACUCCAUCCCCCUCAUGGUUGCCUUAUUUGACUUAUAUUGCUGAGGUACCCCCGAAGCAUGUGUUGUCGCCCCGAUGAAAUAUUCUUAGACUAGGUCCCUUAUGUUAGUUGUUUUAGGGACAUUAAAGUGAGAAUAACGGGAAUGGGUAAUUGGGUUAUUGUUGGUUGGUGAAAAUUAAAUAUGAUUAUUUAUUGUGGGUUGAAAACCCUAUAUGCUCACCAGGCUCCCAAGCCUGACCCACUCAGUUUUAAAUUGUAUUACAGGUAGUGGCGGAAGGGCAUGAGAUGGAUGAACCAUCAAGUUGUUUUGUUUACAAGUCUGCAUAUGUUUAUAUUUGUUAUAUGACUUGUAAUGUAUUCGUUUAUGCUUAUUGGUCUGUAUCGGAACAUGACACCCCGAGUUUUGAUUAUAAUGAAAAUACAUUUCUUUUAUGAAAUGCUUCGGUAAACAAUGUUUUAUCAUGUUUUGUUUUUGGGAACAAAUUCCGCAACUCUUUCAAAUCAAAAGGAUUUACUCUGAAAAUAUUUAAAAGCAUAAAUGAAAAUCGGUCUUUUCUGGCCGAGAUUUU
This 7843-nucleotide long non-coding RNA is filed under the name Lactuca sativa (garden lettuce). Its description in RNAcentral is "long non-coding RNA (LSAT_LNC009779)". The record is from RNAcentral. Lineage: Eukaryota; Viridiplantae; Streptophyta; Magnoliopsida; Asterales; Asteraceae.